This 599-nucleotide ribosomal RNA is filed under the name Macropharyngodon choati (Choat's wrasse). Its description in RNAcentral is "partial 16S ribosomal RNA". It matches the Rfam family "Bacterial large subunit ribosomal RNA", at positions 1803 to 2610 of the family's 2925-position model. The record is from RNAcentral. Lineage: Eukaryota; Metazoa; Chordata; Actinopteri; Labriformes; Labridae.
UUUAUCAAAAACAUCGCCUCUUGCAAAACCAACGAAUAAGAGGUCCCGCCUGCCCAGUGACUCUGAGUUUAACGGCCGCGGUAUUUUGACCGUGCAAAGGUAGCGCAAUCACUUGUCUUUUAAAUGGAGACCUGUAUGAAUGGCAUCACGAGGGCUUAACUGUCUCCUUUCUUCAGCCAAUGAAAUUGAUCUCCCCGUGCAGAAGCGGGGAUACUCACAUAAGACGAGAAGACCCUAUGGAGCUUUAGACACCAAAGAAGCCUACGUCAAACACCCUUAUUUAAAAGACUAAACUAAGUAGACCCUCCCCUAAUGUCUUCGGUUGGGGCGACCUUGGGGAAAUAAAAAACCCCCAUGCGGAAUGGAAGCAUGCUUUCACAACCGAGAGCUUCCGCUCUAAGAACCAGAACUUCUGACCACCUGAUCCGGCAAAGCCGAUCAACGGACCGAGUUACCCUAGGGAUAACAGCGCAAUCUCCUUACAGAGCCCUUAUCGACAAGGGGGUUUACGACCUCGAUGUUGGAUCAGGACAUCCUAAUGGUGCAGCCGCUAUUAAAGGUUCGUUUGUUCAACGAUUAAAGUCCUACGUGAUCUGAGU